This 73-nucleotide transfer RNA is filed under the name Chitinophagales bacterium. Its description in RNAcentral is "tRNA-Lys". It matches the Rfam family "tRNA". From Rfam's summary of the family: Transfer RNA (tRNA) molecules are approximately 80 nucleotides in length. Their secondary structure includes four short double-helical elements and three loops (D, anti-codon, and T loops). Lineage: Bacteria; Pseudomonadati; Bacteroidota; Chitinophagia; Chitinophagales. The record is from RNAcentral.
UCUUCUAUAGCUUAAAAGGUAGAGCAUCCCACUUUUAAUGGGAAGGUUGAUGGUUCAAACCCAUCUAGAAGAA